AUGUCUGAAGAGAGAAGCAGGGUCUGAUCCAUAGCUUGUAUGACAGCUGUUGAUCAGCACUUGCCUCUCUCUUUCUCUCAG
This is a non-coding RNA of Myotis lucifugus (little brown bat), 81 nucleotides long. Lineage: Eukaryota; Metazoa; Chordata; Mammalia; Chiroptera; Vespertilionidae. The record is from Rfam.